RNAcentral lists this unclassified non-coding RNA (348 nucleotides) under soil metagenome. RNAcentral's name for it is "partial contains 5.8S ribosomal RNA, internal transcribed spacer 2, and large subunit ribosomal RNA". The stretch from base 1 to 120 matches the Rfam family "5.8S ribosomal RNA", at positions 35 to 154 of the family's 154-position model. The record is from RNAcentral.
GAUGAAGAACGCAGUGAAAUGCGAUAAGUAAUGUGAAUUGCAGAAUUCAGUGAAUCAUCGAAUCUUUGAACGCACAUUGCGCCCGCCAGUAUUCUGGCGGGCAUGCCUGUCUGAGCGUCAUUUCAACCCUCAUGCCCCUAGGGCGUGGUGUUGGGGAUCGGCCAAAGCCCGCGAGGAACGGCCGGCCCCUAAAUCUAGUGGCGGACCCGUCGUGGCCUCCUCUGCGAAGUAGUGAUAUUCCGCAUCGGAGAGCGAUGAGCCCCUGCCGUUAAACCCCCAACUUUCCAAGGUUGACCUCAGAUCAGGUAGGAAUACCCGCUGAACUUAAGCAUAUCAAUAAGCGGAGGA